This 254-nucleotide ribosomal RNA is filed under the name uncultured bacterium. RNAcentral describes it as "partial 16S ribosomal RNA". It matches the Rfam family "Bacterial small subunit ribosomal RNA", at positions 524 to 776 of the family's 1533-position model. The record is from RNAcentral.
UACAGAGGGUGCGAGCGUUAAUCGGAAUUACUGGGCGUAAAGGGUGAGUAGGUGGUUAAAUAAGUCGGAUGUGAAAGCCCUGGGCUUAACCUAGGAAUAGCAUACGAUACUGUUUUGACUAGAGUAUAGGAGAGGGGAGUGGAAUUUCCGGUGUAGCGGUGAAGUGCGUAGAUAUCGGAAGGAACACCAGUGGCGAAGGCGACUCUCUGGCUUAAUACUGACACUGAGUCACGAAAGCAUGGGUAGCAAACAGG